AGUGAACGCUGGCGGUAGGCCUAACACAUGCAAGUCGAACGGCAGCACAGUAAGAGCUUGCUCUUGCGGGUGGCGAGUGGCGGACGGGUGAGGAAUACAUCGGAAUCUACUUUUUCGUGGGGGAUAACGUAGGGAAACUUACGCUAAUACCGCAUACGACCUACGGGUGAAAGCAGGGGAUCUUCGGACCUUGCGCGAUUGAAUGAGCCGAUGUCGGAUUAGCUAGUUGGCGGGGUAAAGGCCCACCAAGGCGACGAUCCGUAGCUGGUCUGAGAGGAUGAUCAGCCACACUGGAACUGAGACACGGUCCAGACUCCUACGGGAGGCAGCAGUGGGGAAUAUUGGACAAUGGGCGCAAGCCUGAUCCAGCCAUACCGCGUGGGUGAAGAAGGCUUUCGGGUUGUAAAGCCCUUUUGUUGGGAAAGAAAAGCAGCAGGUUAAUACCCCGCUGUUCUGACGGUACCCAAAGAAUAAGCACCGGCUAACUUCGUG
RNAcentral lists this ribosomal RNA (492 nucleotides) under uncultured bacterium. RNAcentral's name for it is "partial 16S ribosomal RNA". It matches the Rfam family "Bacterial small subunit ribosomal RNA", at positions 29 to 507 of the family's 1533-position model. The record is from RNAcentral.